RNAcentral lists this ribosomal RNA (253 nucleotides) under uncultured bacterium. RNAcentral describes it as "partial 16S ribosomal RNA". It matches the Rfam family "Bacterial small subunit ribosomal RNA", at positions 524 to 776 of the family's 1533-position model. The record is from RNAcentral.
UACGGAGGGUGCAAGCGUUAUCCGGAUUCACUGGGUUUAAAGGGUGCGUAGGCGGCUUGAUAAGUCAGUGGUGAAAGCCCGCAGCUCAACUGCGGAAUUGCCAUUGAAACUGCCAAGCUUGAAUCUGGUUGAAGUGGGCGGAAUAUAUCAUGUAGCGGUGAAAUGCUUAGAUAUGAUGUAGAACACCGAUUGCGAAGGCAGCUCACUAAGCCAACAUUGACGCUGAGGCACGAAAGCGUGGGUAGCGAACAGG